RNAcentral lists this signal recognition particle RNA (305 nucleotides) under Thermoplasmatales archaeon. RNAcentral's name for it is "signal recognition particle sRNA". It matches the Rfam family "Archaeal signal recognition particle RNA". The record is from RNAcentral. Lineage: Archaea; Methanobacteriati; Thermoplasmatota; Thermoplasmata; Thermoplasmatales.
AACCGGACUAGACCGGAGAGCCAGGCACUCUCUGUAACCCGAAGUCUAUAUGCGGGGGCGACUGCCUGAAGAGGCCAACCAGACUUCUGCCAGGCCCUGUGGAAUCAAUGAAACUCUGUCCCUUCGGAUCGUGGGUUUACCUGGUCAGAUUCAAAGGAAACUGGCUGGGUAAUCUGACAGGAGAAUCCGCCAGAACCGGAAGGGGGCAUCGGUAUCCUGGACCAUCGAUGCUGAAGGGGUGCGGGGUAGAGAGGAAUCAGGGGGGACCUGUCAGGACAUCUGGACCGAUUCAGGUGCGUCCGGUA